RNAcentral lists this transfer RNA (73 nucleotides) under Sphaerodactylus townsendi. Its description in RNAcentral is "tRNA-Ala". It matches the Rfam family "tRNA". Rfam says of the family: Transfer RNA (tRNA) molecules are approximately 80 nucleotides in length. Their secondary structure includes four short double-helical elements and three loops (D, anti-codon, and T loops). Further hydrogen bonds mediate the characteristic L-shaped molecular structure. tRNAs have two regions of fundamental functional importance: the anti-codon, which is responsible for specific mRNA codon recognition, and the 3' end, to which the tRNAs corresponding amino acid is attached (by aminoacyl-tRNA synthetases). tRNAs cope with the degeneracy of the genetic code in two manners: having more than one tRNA (with a specific anti-codon) for a particular amino acid; and 'wobble' base-pairing, i.e. permitting non-standard base-pairing at the 3rd anti-codon position. The record is from RNAcentral. Lineage: Eukaryota; Metazoa; Chordata; Lepidosauria; Squamata; Sphaerodactylidae.
GGAGGCCGUGGCUUGGUGGUUGAGCAUCUGCUUAGCAGGCAGGAGGCUGCAGGUUCAAUCCUCGGCAUCUCCA